GGACGGGAUAAGUGCUGAAAGCAUCUAAGCAUGAAGCCCCCCUCAAGAUGAGAUUUCCCAACUUCGGUUAUAAGAUCCCUCAAAGAUGAUGAGGUUAAUAGGUUCGAGGUGGAAGCGUAGCGAUACGUGGAGCUGACGAAUACUAAUCGAUCGAAGACUUAAUCAAUUU
Molecule: ribosomal RNA, 169 nt
Filed under: Staphylococcus agnetis
Lineage: Bacteria; Bacillati; Bacillota; Bacilli; Caryophanales; Staphylococcaceae
Description: partial 23S ribosomal RNA
Rfam family: Bacterial large subunit ribosomal RNA
Source: RNAcentral